This is a long non-coding RNA of Vespa velutina, 471 nucleotides long. RefSeq lists it as uncharacterized. The record is from RefSeq and is a predicted model, not a curated record. The transcript is spliced from 2 exons. NCBI's taxonomy places the organism in Eukaryota, Metazoa, Arthropoda, Insecta, Hymenoptera, Vespidae.
UCUGCGAGCAACAUCUUUAAAAGCAUUAUGCAAGAAGUCUUUCGAAGCCGGUCAGUACACCAGUCUGCCAGGGUGACGUAAAUCGCGAUUCGAGGUUAUUAAUACUGCGCGAGGAGAGAAAUUUUCGCGGCGAGAAGUAGUCGACGAAGUGAAAAGGACAGUCGAAAGAGAAGGGAGAGGGAGGAAGAGGAGGAGGAGGAGGAACGUUUUCUGUCACCUGUGAGAGAGAUGGAGAGAGAAGGAGAGAGAGAGAGAGAGAGGAAAGAGGGGAAAGAAGAAAAAGUGGGAGAUAAGAAGAGCGCAAACUCGGUCGGUAGAUCGAGAAAAGCAAAUCUAGGGUACUCGGAGUAAACGCAAAAUUAGGUCCUAGACCGUCCCUACGAAGUAGGUCAAUACAGCACAGGCGCGCGGAGCAGUACAUAGAAGAAGAGAGUGGGUAGUGCGUGUCAAAGUACUUACACUAUAUGUCCG